AAGUCGUAACAAGGUCUCCGUUGGUGAACCAGCGGAGGGAUCAUUAAAGAGUUUUAUAACUCCCAAACCCAUGUGAACUUACUUCAGUUGCUUCGGUGACGGACCUACCCUGGUUGGGGUUACCCUGUAACACGGGUAUCCUGGCCGUAAAGGGGCGGGCGAGUUGCCGGUGGCCCAUAAACUCUUAUUAUACCUACAUCUCUGAAUUUAAAACAUAAUAAGUUAAAACUUUCAACAACGGAUCUCUUGGUUCUG
Molecule: unclassified non-coding RNA, 255 nt
Filed under: fungal sp.
Lineage: Eukaryota; Fungi
Description: partial internal transcribed spacer region
Rfam family: Eukaryotic small subunit ribosomal RNA (bases 1-46)
Source: RNAcentral